UAACGCGUGGAUAACCUGCCUUGCACUGGGGGAUAACACUUAGAAAUAGGUGCUAAUACCGCAUAAGCGCACAGAGCCGCAUGGCUCAGUGUGAAAAACUCCGGUGGUGUAAGAUGGAUCCGCGUCUGAUUAGCUAGUUGGCGGGGUAGAAGCCCACCAAGGCGACGAUCAGUAGCCGGCCUGAGAGGGUGAACGGCCACAUUGGGACUGAGACACGGACCAAACUCCUACGGGAGGCAGCAG
This 243-nucleotide ribosomal RNA is filed under the name uncultured bacterium. RNAcentral's name for it is "partial 16S ribosomal RNA". It matches the Rfam family "Bacterial small subunit ribosomal RNA", at positions 111 to 354 of the family's 1533-position model. The record is from RNAcentral.